GGAAGGUUGGACAAGGGAUGAGCUGUCUCCUUUAUGUAGUUUGAAUUUAACUUUUGAGUGAAAAGGCUCAAAUUAUUUAGUGGGACGAUAAGACCCUAUAAAACUUUAUAUAAGUUUAAUUUGGCUUACAAUUUGAGUGAAAAGUAGCUUUAUUAGGCUUAUAUUUCGUUGGGGAGAUGUAGAUAUAAUGUGUAACUGUCUAUUUAAUUUAAUAAUUAUAAUUAGUGUGUGAUCCUUCUUUGUGGAUUAAAAGUAUAAGUUACUUUAGGGAUAACAGCGUGGUUUUCUUUGAGAGUUCUUAUCGACGAGAGUAGUUGCGACCUCGAUGUUGAAUUAAAAUUUCAGUUAGGUGUAGCCGUCCAGCUGGAAGGUCUGUUUCGACCUCUUAAAAUUUUACAUGAUUUGAGUUCAAACCGGUGUGAGCCAGGAUGGUUUCUAUCUAAA
This 444-nucleotide ribosomal RNA is filed under the name Macrobrachium superbum. RNAcentral describes it as "partial 16S ribosomal RNA". It matches the Rfam family "Bacterial large subunit ribosomal RNA", at positions 1994 to 2648 of the family's 2925-position model. Lineage: Eukaryota; Metazoa; Arthropoda; Malacostraca; Decapoda; Palaemonidae. The record is from RNAcentral.